This is a small nuclear RNA of Protopterus annectens (West African lungfish), 135 nucleotides long. RefSeq annotates it as U4 spliceosomal RNA. The transcript has a single exon. The record is from RefSeq and is a predicted model, not a curated record. NCBI's taxonomy places the organism in Eukaryota, Metazoa, Chordata, Ceratodontiformes, Protopteridae.
AGCUUUGCGCAGUGGUAAUGUCAUAGGCAAUUAAGGUUUACUGAGUUGUGAUUAUUGCUAUUUAAAAACUUUACCCAAUACCCCGUUAAGUCUGUUUUAUGACAGACUUGCAAUUUAUUACCUUCUCUGAAGAGA